GGGCCUAUAGCUCAGCUGGUUAGAGCACACGCCUGAUAAGCGUGAGGUCGGUGGUUCGAGUCCAUUUAGGCCCA
This 74-nucleotide transfer RNA is filed under the name 'Crotalaria juncea' X-disease phytoplasma. RNAcentral's name for it is "tRNA-Ile". It matches the Rfam family "tRNA". From Rfam's summary of the family: Transfer RNA (tRNA) molecules are approximately 80 nucleotides in length. Their secondary structure includes four short double-helical elements and three loops (D, anti-codon, and T loops). Further hydrogen bonds mediate the characteristic L-shaped molecular structure. tRNAs have two regions of fundamental functional importance: the anti-codon, which is responsible for specific mRNA codon recognition, and the 3' end, to which the tRNAs corresponding amino acid is attached (by aminoacyl-tRNA synthetases). tRNAs cope with the degeneracy of the genetic code in two manners: having more than one tRNA (with a specific anti-codon) for a particular amino acid; and 'wobble' base-pairing, i.e. permitting non-standard base-pairing at the 3rd anti-codon position. Lineage: Bacteria; Bacillati; Mycoplasmatota; Mollicutes; Acholeplasmatales; Acholeplasmataceae. The record is from RNAcentral.